This 424-nucleotide ribosomal RNA is filed under the name uncultured prokaryote. RNAcentral describes it as "bacterial SSU rRNA". It matches the Rfam family "Bacterial small subunit ribosomal RNA", at positions 355 to 796 of the family's 1533-position model. The record is from RNAcentral.
UGGGGAAUAUUGGACAAUGGGGGAAACCCUGAUCCAGCAAUGCCGCGUGAGUGAAGAAGGCCCUAGGGUUGUAAAGCUCUUUCACCCGUGAAGAUGAUGACGGUAGCGGGAGAAGAAGCCCCGGCUAACUCCGUGCCAGCAGCCGCGGUAAUACGGAGGGGGCUAGCGUUGUUCGGAAUUACUGGGCGUAAAGCGCACGUAGGCGGCGCGUCAAGUCAGAGGUGAAAGGCCUGGGCUCAACCUAGGAACUGCCUUUGAUACUGGCGUGCUUGAGUCCGGGAGAGGGUGACGGAAUUCCCAGUGUAGAGGUGAAAUUCGUAGAUAUUGGGAAGAACACCGGUGGCGAAGGCGGUCACCUGGCCCGGUACUGACGCUGAGGUGCGAAAGCGUGGGGAGCAAACAGGAUUAGAUACCCCCGUAGUCC